This 387-nucleotide ribosomal RNA is filed under the name Triticum aestivum (bread wheat). Its description in RNAcentral is "partial small subunit ribosomal RNA". The record is from RNAcentral. Lineage: Eukaryota; Viridiplantae; Streptophyta; Magnoliopsida; Poales; Poaceae.
AUGUGCCACCGAGCUCGUGCUGCUGGUGCCGGCUUUGGCCGCGUUUCCGUGCUCGGCAUCAUCGUCGCGGCUCUCUGUCCAGCAAAUGGAGGAGCACUUCGGGCGGAACGGUCGCCUCAUGUAUUUCCGCCUGGACCGCUCCAUGUUCCUGAUCUGGAACUCGUGCUUCUGUACUCGGGCUGCCAUGGCCAUGGUCGUGCCCUGCAGCUCGAGGAAGCCGGCUCCUCUGCAGGAAUCACCUGUCGUCUGCAGGCGACCACUUUUGCGCCACGAUGGCAUCCAAGCCUAGUUGGCCUGUGGAGCAGCACCCCUGGGGCUAACCGUUGGCCAUGCCCUGCAACUGAAAGAACCGUCUUUAGACCUUUAAUCUUCGGUGCUCAAGCUUAG